UACACAUGCAGUCGAACGAGAGAAGAGAAGCUUGCUUUUCUGAUCUAGUGGCGGACGGGUGAGUAACACGUGAGCAAUCUGCCUUUCAGAGGGGGAUACCGAUUGGAAACGAUCGUUAAUACCGCAUAAUAUAAUUGAACCGCAUGAUUUGAUUAUCAAAGAUUUAUCGCUGAAAGAUGAGCUCGCGUCUGAUUAGCUAGUUGGUAAGGUAACGGCUUACCAAGGCGACGAUCAGUAGCCGGACUGAGAGGUUGAUCGGCCACAUUGGGACUGAGACACGGCCCAGACUCCUACGGGAGGCAGCAGUGGGGAAUAUUGCACAAUGGAGGAAACUCUGAUGCAGCGAUGCCGCGUGAGGGAAGAAGGUUUUAGGAUUGUAAACCUCUGUCUUCAGGGACGAAAAAAGACGGUACCUGAGGAGGAAGCUCCGGCUAACUACGUGCCAGCAGCCGCGGUAAUAUGUAGGGAGCGAGCGUUGUCCGGAAUUACUGGGUGUAAAGGGAGCGUAGGCGGGAUCGCAAGUCAGAUGUGAAAACUAUGGGCUUAACCCAUAAACUGCAUUUGAAACUGUGGUUCUUGAGUGAAGUAGAGGUAAGCGGAAUUCCUAGUGUAGCGGUGAAAUGCGUAGAUAUUAGGAGGAACAUCAGUGGCGAAGGCGGCUUACUGGGCUUUAACUGACGCUGAGGCUCGAAAGCGUGGGGAGCAAACAGGAUUAGAUACCCUGGUAGUCCACGCCGUAAACGAUGAUUACUAGGUGUGGGGGGACUGACCCCUUCCGUGCCGCAGCAAACGCAAUAAGUAAUCCACCUGGGGAGUACGACCGCAAGGUUGAAACUCAAAGGAAUUGACGGGGGCCCGCACAAGCAGUGGAGUAUGUGGAUUAAUUCGAAGCAACGCGAAGAACCUUACCAGGUCUUGACAUCGUAUGCAUAGCUCA
RNAcentral lists this ribosomal RNA (937 nucleotides) under uncultured bacterium. Its description in RNAcentral is "bacterial SSU rRNA". It matches the Rfam family "Bacterial small subunit ribosomal RNA", at positions 50 to 1002 of the family's 1533-position model. The record is from RNAcentral.